RNAcentral lists this ribosomal RNA (468 nucleotides) under uncultured bacterium. Its description in RNAcentral is "partial 16S ribosomal RNA". It matches the Rfam family "Bacterial small subunit ribosomal RNA", at positions 28 to 507 of the family's 1533-position model. The record is from RNAcentral.
GACGAACGCUGGCGGCGUGCUUAACACAUGCAAGUCGAACGGAAAGGCCCUGCUUUUGUGGGGUGCUCGAUUGGCGAACGGGUGAGUAACACGUGAGUAACCUGCCCUUGUCUUUGGGAUAACUUCAGGAAACUGGGGCUAUUACCGGAUAGGAGCUCCUGCUGCAUGGUGGGGGUUGGAAAGUUUCGGCGGUUGGGGAUGGACUCGAGGCUUAUCCGCUUGUUUGUGGGGUAGGGGCUUACCAAGGCUUUGAAGGGUAGCCGGCCUGAGAGGGUGGCCGGCCACAAUGGGACUAAGGUACGGCCCAGACUCCUACGGGAGGCAGCAGUGGGGAAUAUUGCACAAUGGGCGGAAGCCUGAUGCAGCAACGCCGCGUGCGGGAUGACGGCCUUCGGGUUGUAAACCGCUUUCGCCUGUGACGAAGCGUGAGUGACGGUAAUGAGUAAAGAAGCACCGGCUAACUACGUG